RNAcentral lists this ribosomal RNA (277 nucleotides) under uncultured prokaryote. RNAcentral describes it as "partial 16S ribosomal RNA". It matches the Rfam family "Bacterial small subunit ribosomal RNA", at positions 524 to 800 of the family's 1533-position model. The record is from RNAcentral.
GACGUAGGGGGCGAGCGUUGUCCGGAAUUACUGGGCGUAAAGAGCACGUAGGCGGGAACCUAAGUCAGGUGUGAAAGACCGUGGCUCAACCACGGGGUGGCAUUUGAAACUGGGUUUCUUGAGGGCAGGAGAGGAAAGCAGAAUUCCUGGUGUAGCGGUGAAAUGCGUAGAGAUUAGGAAGAACACCAGUGGCGAAGGCGAUUCUCUGGACUGUAACUGACGCUGAGGCUCGAAAGCGUGGGGAGCAAACAGGAUUAGAUACCCUGGUAGUCCCUGA